UGGGGAAUAUUGCACAAUGGGCGAAAGCCUGAUGCAGCGACGCCGCGUGAGGGAUGACGGCCUUCGGGUUGUAAACCUCUUUCAGCAGGGAAGAAGCGAAAGUGACGGUACCUGCAGAAGAAGCACCGGCUAACUACGUGCCAGCAGCCGCGGUAAUACGUAGGGGGCAAGCGUUGUCCGGAUUUACUGGGCGUAAAGAGCGUGUAGGCGGCCACGCAGGUCCGUUGUGAAAACUGGAGGCUCAACCUCCAGCUGUCGACGGAAACCGUGUGGCUAGAGUCCGGAAGAGGAGAGUGGAAUUCCUGGUGUAGCGGUGAAAUGCGCAGAUAUCAGGAAGAACACCAAUGGCGAAGGCAGCUCUCUGGGACGGUACUGACGCUGAGACGCGAAAGCGUGGGGAGCGAAC
This 406-nucleotide ribosomal RNA is filed under the name uncultured bacterium. RNAcentral's name for it is "bacterial SSU rRNA". It matches the Rfam family "Bacterial small subunit ribosomal RNA", at positions 355 to 773 of the family's 1533-position model. The record is from RNAcentral.